Non-coding RNA from Delphinapterus leucas (beluga whale), 1578 nucleotides. The record is from RefSeq and is a predicted model, not a curated record. NCBI's taxonomy places the organism in Eukaryota, Metazoa, Chordata, Mammalia, Artiodactyla, Monodontidae.
CGGGUCUUUAUCAUGCACUGGGCAAGGGCAGGCAGCCACUCAGUGUGAAACCCCGAAACAAGGAUGACACUGACUCAGGGAACUGAAUCGCAGGAAAAGAGGGUGCCACUGGUGCUUCCUCCAGCACACCUUUGACCUGGAGCUGCAAACACCCACUUCUUUCCCGGCCUAGCUCCUCCCCUUGACCCUGGGGACUGCAGAUUACUUAACAGUUAUAUUUAGCAAGCCCAUGGAAGGGACUAGCCUUCCAGCCAACGAGUCCUCUUCCUUCAGAGAUCAGGAUUCUUUUGUCUUCUCCCUUCCCCUCCCCUCCGAUUCCUUCCUUCCGGCAGCUGACUCUUAACCCCUUCGUGGCUUGAGGGUUCGCCUGCAGGCCUCACCCUUAGGCAGAACAGACUAUGAGAGGUGCCACCCAAGUGCCCUGGGACCCAAACUCCUGCCUCGGCAGCCUGAAACUCUGCUCCACAAAUCUCUCUUGGAGCCUGAAUAUUUUUUAUCAUCUGGUGUUUCCUCAUAAGAUUAUGCAAGUACCCUUGGGAAGGGAAAUGACUUAAGCUUUUCUUGUAUCGGCUCACAGACUCUGAAGAAUGGGCACAGGUCAAGGCUUUGGAGGAGAGAAGGUGGACUGGAGACCAAGAAAGCCGACUUCUGGUGAAAAGAAAAAGAUUGAUGAUUCCCCCCAAUUCACUAGCAUGGAGCGAAGGAGUGAAAAAAGAAAAGCAUAAAUCCACAAGGACCAACUCAAUGGAGGAGAACUCAUUGGCGAGAGUUUCUCCCCGGGGCUGGGUCAGCGGGGUUGUUCUGACGCUGGAGCCAUUCAGAGGCUGACUUGGUUGAAUUCUCUCCACCGCACCCUUGGGAGGGGAUCAGGGAGCCCUGCCAGUGUUUUCCUGAAGAAAUGUGACGGACAAGACAGAAUUCUGCUUUCUUCCGGUUUGGUUUGCAAGAGGGCGAACCAGGGGGGUUUCCGUUUUCCGUGUUCGCGGACUCACACACACACCAGAUGGACUUGGCCUUGCUGUCUACACGUGAGGGCUCAGCCGACACCUGGAGCGGGCGCCCGGCCGGCAUCGGUGCGGGUAACAGCUCCGUCCGCAGCCCAGCGAGGACCCAGCACGCCACUUUCCUUGGCGGAUGCGGAUCCCCGGCCCGGGUGGGUGAACCAGCCUUUGACCUGCAAACCCAGCUCCCCCGUUUGACCUGCGCAGUCCCCUGUAACAUGCUUAAAAGUGCCAUAAAACCCAGGACCUGGCUGCUAGGAUCCCCAAACGAUAACUCAGAGGCCCCCAUCCCUCAGGGUCAUCGUACCCACCUGGCUGGCAAGAUGCUUAGCAGAGAAACAAGUUGAAACACUCUGUGUGGGCAGACCUUGCAAAAUGUGCUCAAUGAGAAUAAAAUACAUAAGAUGGUAUGAACCACUUGGGAAAGCCCCUGACACACAGUCAGCAUUCAUAUAAAACAUCAGUUAUUACUCUGAUCAUAACCACUAUCACCUACUUUGCCCAGGAAAUGUGCUAGAAACAGAUAAAUUUACACUCUAGUCUCUUACCACAAAAGGCCUUUCAUUUCUUAAUUAAA